This is a ribosomal RNA of Oncorhynchus mykiss (rainbow trout), 119 nucleotides long. NCBI's taxonomy places the organism in Eukaryota, Metazoa, Chordata, Actinopteri, Salmoniformes, Salmonidae. The record is from Ensembl.
GCUUACGGCCACACCUUCCUGAGUACGCCUGAUCUCGUCCGAUCUCGGAAGCUAAGCAGGGUCGGGCCUGGUUAGUACUUGGAUGGGAGACCGCCUGGGAAUACCAGGUGCUGUAAGAU